Molecule: ribosomal RNA, 163 nt
Filed under: Arabidopsis thaliana (thale cress)
Lineage: Eukaryota; Viridiplantae; Streptophyta; Magnoliopsida; Brassicales; Brassicaceae
Description: 5.8S ribosomal RNA
Rfam family: 5.8S ribosomal RNA
About the family: 5.8S ribosomal RNA (5.8S rRNA) is a component of the large subunit of the eukaryotic ribosome. It is transcribed by RNA polymerase I as part of the 45S precursor that also contains 18S and 28S rRNA.
Source: RNAcentral
AAAACGACUCUCGGCAACGGAUAUCUCGGCUCUCGCAUCGAUGAAGAACGUAGCGAAAUGCGAUACUUGGUGUGAAUUGCAGAAUCCCGUGAACCAUCGAGUCUUUGAACGCAAGUUGCGCCCCAAGCCUUCUGGCCGAGGGCACGUCUGCCUGGUGUCACAA